CAAAAGCUUGGUCCUGACUUUACUGUCAGCUUUGGUUAAAUUUAUACAUGCAAGUAUCCGCACUCCUGUGAGAAUGCCCUACAUAUUUCUUUUUCCUGAAAAAAAGGAGCAGGUAUUAGGCACGACCCUACGUCUGCCCAUGACACCUUGCUUAGCCACACCCCCAUGGGAAUUCAGCAGUAAUAAACAUUAAGCAAUAAGUGUAAACUUGACUUAGUUAAGACCAAAAGGGCCGGUAAAACUCGUGCCAGCCACCGCGGUUAUACGAGAGGCCCAAGUUGACAAAUACCGGCGUAAAAUGUGGUUAGUUUAUCUAUUGAACUAAAGUCAAACACCCUCAAAACUGUUAUACGCACUUGAAGGCAGGAAGCCCUCCCACGAAAGUGACUUUAAAGACUACUACCCCACGAAAGCUAGGGAACAAACUGGGAUUAGAUACCCCACUAUGCCUAGCCUUAAACACAAGUGAUUAUCCACACACCCCUUACUUGCCAGGGAACUACGAGCCCCAGCUUAAAACCCAAAGGACUUGGCGGUGCUUUAGACCCACCUAGAGGAGCCUGUUCUAAAACCGAUAACCCCCGUUCAACCUCACCCUCUCUUGUUUAUCCCGCCUAUAUACCGCCGUCGUCAGCUUACCCUGUGAGGGACAAACAGUAAGCAUAAUUGGCUUAGCCUAAAACGUCAGGUCGAGGUGUAGCGCACGAGAGGGGAAGAAAUGGGCUACACUCACUGACCCAGUGAACACGAAUAAUUCCUUGAAACAGGAAUUUGAAGGAGGAUUUAGCAGUAAGCGGGGAGUAGAGUGCCCCCCUGAAACUGGCCCUGAAGCGCGCACACACCGCCCGUCACUCUCCCCGAAACAAACAACAAAUAAAUAAACAAAAAAUAAAAACAAGGGGAGGCAAGUCGUAACAUGGUAAGUGUACCGGAAGGUGCACUUGGAAAAAU
The sequence is a non-coding RNA, 951 nucleotides long. It matches the Rfam family "Bacterial small subunit ribosomal RNA".